AUCGCUUCUCGGCCUUUUGGCUAAGAUCAAGUGUAGUAUCUGUUCUUAUCAGUUUAACACCCUUCAGUAAUUGCUCUCAAUGUGACUGGUCCCACUCAAAAGACACAGAUUGGCAGAAUGGAUCAAGAAACAAAACCCAAU
Molecule: small nuclear RNA, 141 nt
Organism: Heterocephalus glaber (naked mole-rat)
Lineage: Eukaryota; Metazoa; Chordata; Mammalia; Rodentia; Bathyergidae
Gene: U2
Rfam family: U2 spliceosomal RNA
About the family: U2 is a small nuclear RNA (snRNA) component of the spliceosome (involved in pre-mRNA splicing). Complementary binding between U2 snRNA (in an area lying towards the 5' end but 3' to hairpin I) and the branchpoint sequence (BPS) of the intron results the bulging out of an unpaired adenosine, on the BPS, which initiates a nucleophilic attack at the intronic 5' splice site, thus starting the first of two transesterification reactions that mediate splicing.
Source: Ensembl